Molecule: ribosomal RNA, 497 nt
Filed under: uncultured bacterium
Lineage: Bacteria
Description: partial 16S ribosomal RNA
Rfam family: Bacterial small subunit ribosomal RNA
Source: RNAcentral
GACGAACGCUGGCGGCGUGCCUAAUACAUGCAAGUAGAACGCUGAAGAGAGGAGCUUACUCUUCUUGGAUGAGUUGCGAACGGGUGAGUAACGCGUAGGUAACCUGCCUUGUAGCGGGGGAUAACUAUUGGAAACGAUAGCUAAUACCGCAUAACAAUGGAUGACACAUGUCAUUUAUUUGAAAGGGGCAAUUGCUCCACUACAAGAUGGACCUGCGUUGUAUUAGUUAGUAGGUGAGGUAAUGGCUCACCUAGGCGACGAUACAUAGCCGACCUGAGAGGGUGAUCGGCCACACUGGGACUGAGACACGGCCCAGACUCCUACGGGAGGCAGCAGUAGGGAAUCUUCGGCAAUGGGGGCAACCCUGACCGAGCAACGCCGCGUGAGUGAAGAAGGUUUUCGGAUCGUAAAGCUCUGUUGUAAGUCAAGAACGGGUGUGAGAGUGGAAAGUUCACACUGUGACGGUAGCUUACCAGAAAGGGACGGCUAACUACGUG